RNAcentral lists this ribosomal RNA (460 nucleotides) under uncultured bacterium. RNAcentral's name for it is "partial 16S ribosomal RNA". It matches the Rfam family "Bacterial small subunit ribosomal RNA", at positions 338 to 795 of the family's 1533-position model. The record is from RNAcentral.
CCUACGGGCGGCUGCAGUGAGGAAUAUUGGUCAAUGGACGAGAGUCUGAACCAGCCAAGUAGCGUGAAGGAUGACUGCCCUAUGGGUUGUAAACUUCUUUUAUAAAGGAAUAAAACGAGGCACGUGUGCCUUUUUGCAUGUACUUUAUGAAUAAGGAUCGGCUAACUCCGUGCCAGCAGCCGCGGUAAUACGGAGGAUCCGAGCGUUAUCCGGAUUUAUUGGGUUUAAAGGGAGCGUAGAUGGGUUGUUAAGUCAGUUGUGAAAGUUUGCGGCUCAACCGUAAAAUUGCAAUUGAUACUGGCAGUCGUGAGUACAGUUGAGGUAGGAGGAAUUCGUGGUGUAGCGGUGAAAUGCUUAGAUAUCACGAAGAACCCCGAUUGCGAAGGCAGCUUACUAAACUGUGACUGACAUUGAUGCUCGAAAGUGUGGGUAUCAAACAGGAUUAGAUACCCUAGUAGUC